CUGUGCCUCCUGAUGGCUGUGUUCACCUGGACCUUCUGACCACCUUCCUUGUACUGUUCCAUCAGUCUGCAGAACUGGUACCUGGAUUUUUGCCGAUGGUGAUUCUCCUCCUCACCUUACUACUGAAGAAGGCACUAUUCCAGUGGACCACUGUGACCCAAGAGGCAUUCAGCCAUGAUGAUGUGGCCUUUACCUCCACUCCUGUCUUCUUCUACCCAGAUUCAUCACAGCCUGUUA
Molecule: non-coding RNA, 237 nt
Organism: Loxodonta africana (African savanna elephant)
Lineage: Eukaryota; Metazoa; Chordata; Mammalia; Proboscidea; Elephantidae
Source: Rfam